Molecule: long non-coding RNA, 217 nt
Organism: Phodopus roborovskii (desert hamster)
Lineage: Eukaryota; Metazoa; Chordata; Mammalia; Rodentia; Cricetidae
Exons: 3
Source: RefSeq, a predicted model, not a curated record
GCUAAUGGAAAAGUUGACCUAAUUAAGGUGAUGGAUGGAGCAAAAACCAUUACAGGAGAAAAAAUUGGUAUUGAUGAUGUAAAAACUGUUCUGGAAAACAUGGGACUAGAGUACAAAGAUCAAGAAUUCUCCAAACUGAUGGAAACUCUGCAAUUUGAUGAUGACAGAAUGAUCUUUCAAAACAGGCUACUGGACAAAGUGAAGUCCCUGAAAGGUG